UGUAGUGUAACUUAGUGGUAGGGCACUUGCUUAGCAUGCAUGAGACCCUGGGUUCCAACCCUAGUAUCACAA
RNAcentral lists this transfer RNA (72 nucleotides) under Heterocephalus glaber (naked mole-rat). It matches the Rfam family "tRNA". From Rfam's summary of the family: Transfer RNA (tRNA) molecules are approximately 80 nucleotides in length. Their secondary structure includes four short double-helical elements and three loops (D, anti-codon, and T loops). Further hydrogen bonds mediate the characteristic L-shaped molecular structure. tRNAs have two regions of fundamental functional importance: the anti-codon, which is responsible for specific mRNA codon recognition, and the 3' end, to which the tRNAs corresponding amino acid is attached (by aminoacyl-tRNA synthetases). tRNAs cope with the degeneracy of the genetic code in two manners: having more than one tRNA (with a specific anti-codon) for a particular amino acid; and 'wobble' base-pairing, i.e. permitting non-standard base-pairing at the 3rd anti-codon position. The record is from Rfam by way of RNAcentral. Lineage: Eukaryota; Metazoa; Chordata; Mammalia; Rodentia; Bathyergidae.